UAGCAAUACGUCAGCGGCAGACGGGUGAGUAACGCGUGGGAACGUACCUUUUGGUUCGGAACAACACAGGGAAACUUGUGCUAAUACCGGAUAAGCCCUUACGGGGAAAGAUUUAUCGCCGAAAGAUCGGCCCGCGUCUGAUUAGCUAGUUGGUGAGGUAACGGCUCACCAAGGCGACGAUCAGUAGCUGGUCUGAGAGGAUGAUCAGCCACAUUGGGACUGAGACACGGCCCAAACUCCUACGGGAGGCAGCAGUGGGGAAUAUUGGACAAUGGGCGCAAGCCUGAUCCAGCCAUGCCGCGUGAGUGAUGAAGGCCCUAGGGUUGUAAAGCUCUUUUGUGCGGGAAGAUAAUGACGGUACCGCAAGAAUAAGCCCCGGCUAACUUCGUGCCAGCAGCCGCGGUAAUACGAAGGGGGCUAGCGUUGCUCGGAAUCACUGGGCGUAAAGGGUGCGUAGGCGGGUCUUUAAGUCAGGGGUGAAAUCCUGGAGCUCAACUCCAGAACUGCCUUUGAUACUGAAGAUCUUGAGUUCGGGAGAGGUGAGUGGAACUGCGAGUGUAGAGGUGAAAUUCGUAGAUAUUCGCAAGAACACCAGUGGCGAAGGCGGCUCACUGGCCCGAUACUGACGCUGAG
Molecule: ribosomal RNA, 633 nt
Filed under: Afipia sp.
Lineage: Bacteria; Pseudomonadati; Pseudomonadota; Alphaproteobacteria; Hyphomicrobiales; Nitrobacteraceae
Description: bacterial SSU rRNA
Rfam family: Bacterial small subunit ribosomal RNA
Source: RNAcentral